UCCUGGCUUAGGAUGAACGCUGGCGGCAGGCUUAAUACAUGCAAGUCGAACGGUAAGGUCCGAAGUGGCAACACGGAGGAUACACGAGUGGCGCACGGGUGCGUAACGCGUAUGCAACCUGCCCCCGACCGGGACAAAACAGCUGGAAACGGCUGCUAAUAUCCCAUGGUCAUGCGGAAGGGCAUCCUUCUUCAUGUAAAGAUUCAUUGGUCGGGGAUGGGCAUGCGUAUUAUUAGGUAGUUGGCGGGGUAACGGCCCACCAAGCCGACGAUGAUUAGGGGUCCUGAGAGGGUUAACCCCCACACUGGAACUGAGACACGGUCCAGACUCCUACGGGAGGCAGCAGUAGGGAAUAUUGGGCAAUGGGAGCAAUCCUGACCCAGCCAUGCCGCGUGAAGGAAGACGGCCCUAUGGGUUGUAAACUUCUUUUGCCGCAGAGUAAACCCGGUCACGAGUGGUCGGUUGAGAGUAUGCGGCGAAUAAGUAUCGGCUAACUCCGUGCCAGCCGCAGC
RNAcentral lists this ribosomal RNA (512 nucleotides) under uncultured bacterium. Its description in RNAcentral is "bacterial SSU rRNA". It matches the Rfam family "Bacterial small subunit ribosomal RNA", at positions 17 to 518 of the family's 1533-position model. The record is from RNAcentral.